GACGAACGCUGGCGGCGUGCUUCAUACACGCAAGUCGAACGAGAACCGAUAGCUUGCUAUCGGGGAAAGUGGCGGACGGGUGAGUAAUAUGUAGAGAAUCUGCCCUUGAGUGGGGGACAACAGAGGGAAACUUCUGCUAAUACCGCAUAAGCCCACGGCCCGGCAUCGGGCUGAGGGAAAAGGAUUUAUUCGCUUCAGGAUGGACUCGCGUCCAAUUAGCUAGUUGGUGAGGUAACGGCCCACCAAGGCGACGAUUGGUAGCCGGACUGAGAGGUUGAACGGCCACAUUGGGACUGAGACACGGCCCAG
Molecule: ribosomal RNA, 309 nt
Filed under: uncultured bacterium
Lineage: Bacteria
Description: bacterial SSU rRNA
Rfam family: Bacterial small subunit ribosomal RNA
Source: RNAcentral